This 327-nucleotide ribosomal RNA is filed under the name Triticum aestivum (bread wheat). RNAcentral describes it as "partial small subunit ribosomal RNA". Lineage: Eukaryota; Viridiplantae; Streptophyta; Magnoliopsida; Poales; Poaceae. The record is from RNAcentral.
AUGGGUAAGAACCCCUGGAAGGCUGGAACUACUGUCAAAGUGUCAAUCAACCCCUGGAAGAUCAUUGAUUUUCCUUUUUUUUCCACUGCUGCUUCAGGCUGCCUAAACCUGCUUGGUCCUUAUGAGCACAGCCAUUGGUCACCAGGCCCUACAAAGAGGCGCGCACUUCAGUCAAGCAACUGCAUCUGCAUGUACCCCCUGGAGGCAAAAAAAAAAAAAAAAGCAACUGCAUAUACAUCUUUCCUCAGAAACUUACAGCACAUGCAUAAUGCAGAAAGAACGGAGAGAACACAAGUUCAUCUGGACAACAUUAUAACAUGUCUGUAA